This 72-nucleotide non-coding RNA is filed under the name unclassified sequences. Its description in RNAcentral is "DUF3800-VIII RNA". It matches the Rfam family "DUF3800-VIII RNA". Rfam says of the family: Bacteroidetes, Cyanobacteria, Firmicutes, Planctomycetes (1 example), Proteobacteria, Tenericutes (1 example). Nearby to DUF3800 The record is from Rfam by way of RNAcentral.
GAAGCCCUGUUGCUCACGAAGGCUUGAGUUCCACUCGAGUCACGCCAUUUGGCAUAGUGAGCACGGGGCUUU